CCCGUGCUCUGUUAGUACCAUUCGAAAGUGCGCGUUGAACGGUCCAUAGUGUCGUUAUUCAAGAGCGUAAUUCCAUACCUCGCCGCAGUGGCACCACAGUCUGGUGUGUAAUUUUACCGGGAAUCGAUCGAAACCGAAAAUCACAACAAAAGGAACGCCGCCGCGUGUGUUUUCAAGGAAGAGUUUCACUGGUUGGUGAAUAAUCAGCAUUGGUACUUCUGUGCAUUGGUGAUUACGAUAUAUUGUUGGCUUUGUGCUUUUCAGUGUUACUUCGAGUGGAGCAGCAAAUUGAAAAUAAUUUAAGACAACAAAAGCCUGUGUUUCGAAAAAUACACUCAACAGGCUGCAGCUCACUUACACACACGGUGCUUUUGUGUGUGCCCCCCAAAAAGUGGAGUUUUAGAGUUUGAGGCUGUGCUGGAGUUGCAGUGUCUGCGAAAAGCGUUACAAGUUGAUUCGAGCAGGGAGAAAAGGGAAGCGGAUUUACUGCACUGCUCUUGUUGCAGACAAGUGGAAAGAGGUUAUCAACACCAAUCUCUUCGGUAUCGUCGUCGUCUCACCGCUCCAAGGCGUCGCCUCCUGUGCUGCUGAAUUGCUGUCCAGCCAGGCUUCGUCCGACCACGUGCAUGUGUGUUGGUUGGUUGGUACCGCGCCAUAGCUAUUGCUGGAUGCUGUGAAGAUUAUCAAAACAAUCCACCCGAGAAGAUUCGAAGGGAGUCCGAAAACGAGUUUUUGCGCGGCGCAUCCCUCCUGAAGAGAGAUCAACGAGCUGCAACCUGAACGGAUUUCGUUAGUGUGUGCGGCGGAGGAGUUAGCGAGUGCAUGCCUGCCUGUAUUAGUGUGAAUCCUGCACACCUGACCGAGUGCAUUCCCGAGUGUGUUGUUUUGAAUACGGCGGUGAAUCCGAGAAGGGUUCCCUCCGAAGAAGAGCGUGGAUAUAGCGAAGAAGCGAAAAAGUAGCCCACCCGGUUUACGUUGACCGUAUACAACACAGAGAAGAGUGUGCUUGGUGUGUUAAAGCAUUAAAUCAGCAUCCGACCAGAGGCUCGUAAGUGUGUCGUCAAAACAAAAACGCGUGUGCAAAAAAAGAAGAGUAGCGUGAUAAGGAAGGACGUGUG
Molecule: long non-coding RNA, 1118 nt
Organism: Aedes aegypti (yellow fever mosquito)
Lineage: Eukaryota; Metazoa; Arthropoda; Insecta; Diptera; Culicidae
Exons: 3
Source: RefSeq, a predicted model, not a curated record